AGUAUCAAGCCGGACUUAACGGAUUACCCUGAUGAGGUAAAAUAUGGGCCUCAAUCCUGAUACCU
Molecule: transfer RNA, 65 nt
Filed under: Lens contradens
Lineage: Eukaryota; Metazoa; Mollusca; Bivalvia; Unionida; Unionidae
Description: tRNA-Ile
Source: RNAcentral